This 491-nucleotide long non-coding RNA is filed under the name Olea europaea subsp. europaea. The record is from RNAcentral. Lineage: Eukaryota; Viridiplantae; Streptophyta; Magnoliopsida; Lamiales; Oleaceae.
CUCCUAACUCCUAAGUAUGUUUUUACUCGAACAAAAAAAGAGGCUUGAAAAAUAGAGUUACAAGCCGAAGACGUGAGAAUUUCAUCCGUAUGCUUGUGUCUCCCUCCGCCAUGCUCUGGCUUAUGAAGUUGCUUAUUUUUUUCUUCUCUUCUCUCACUGAAAUCUUGUUAAAAUCAAUUAAGCAGCUCUUACUCUACAAGAAACAAGCAAGAAGACCUUGAAAUUAAUGAGCUGAUGACACUGAGAAAGUCACAAGGAUUGAGACAUUAAAAAUGCACUGCUCGUUUUGUUUAUGUUUUUGCUUUUGUUUACAUGAACUUCACGUGUAAUUGAGUUGUGGAAGAUUGUGUAUUUUCUAGGCCAGUUCAGAUCCACAUACAAAUGGAAUCUUUAUGCAAAUAAGUCGAUGGACAUUUCAAUUGCUCAUUAGCUUACUGUUUCUAUUUUACAUCUUCUUCUUCUUUCAAUUUAGUGCUCAUAAGUUUUGGCAG